This 208-nucleotide unclassified non-coding RNA is filed under the name Hevea brasiliensis (rubber tree). Lineage: Eukaryota; Viridiplantae; Streptophyta; Magnoliopsida; Malpighiales; Euphorbiaceae. The record is from RNAcentral.
AGGACCCCGUGUAACCUUCUGCUCAUCAAAGCUUGAAGUGGUAAAAGGAAUGGAGAUAGUACACGGGCCGUUUACUCUGACUCGUGUAAACCCAAGUGCCCUGUGUAACAUUCUGUCUUCCAUAUGAAGAAAGGCUAAAAUCACUCUAGAGACUUACAUGCCCUAGGCCAUGUAGUGACACACGAGCCAUGUAAUAUGUGUCUGCCAG